CUCGCCACGUGUCCUGCUUUGCUGACCUUGCCUUUUUUUUUUUCAACCGAAAUAUGCCAAACGACUUCGUUUCUUACUUUGUCACUGUUUCUCCCCAUCAAUGACAAACCCUAGCUGGCAAUCACGUGUUUCCUCUGCCAUUCUACCCACUCCACCGUACCAUUCAUCUUCUUCUCUUUUCUUGAUUUCUCUUCCACAGCUCAUAGUUUCCCAUCUACUGUCGUCAUCUCGCGUCUCUACUUCCUUCGAUUGCAUCAUCACUGACGCUUGCCGUUCCGUGCUCAAGGAGAUUUCGCUCGCCGGAAAUGGAGGAACCAGCCAUAUUUCGACAGCUCCCUUCAUCUACUGUUGUUUGCUCAUCCUUCUCUCUUUUUCUAGAUCUGAAAGCAUUUCCAAGGAGCAAAUCGCGGGUGAGCAAUCCUUGGUGGCUAUGUUUUGCUGUAUAAAUAGGGGAUGCUUGUGUGUGUGUGUUGCAAUAAGUAAUGUUUCUAGGAAGAUUUUUAAUGAACGCAACAACUUCUUUGAUUCUACAGGGCCAGAGAUGGACUUUCAAGGAGAAACCAACCCUCAAUCCUUCAUAUACAGUUGCUAUGCACAAGGUUGGUGUUUGUUUCGUUCAAAAAUUGAUGGAAGAUAUGGACUUUUAUGCCAUGAGGAGGAAGAGACUACAAGCUCUGUGCAAGAAACAUGACAUCUCUGCUAAUUUGAAGAGCAAAUAAAUGGCAGACAAGCUUUCCUUGAUUUUUAAGCACCUUAUUAGGUGUUGGAAUUGAGACUAAGAUGAAAACUUACUUGGUAGCAGUCAUGGAUUGAACUCUUUCAAGGAGGGGCAGAGUUUGUCUUGAUGCCAUAGGUGGCCUAUCCUUAACAGAUAAUAGAACUGAUGCAAGUGGAAGGCCUGACCAAUGUUGAAGGCAAAAACCAUUUGCAAGAGAUGGUUAAAGGAAGCUGACAUGUCUCUUAAUUGUAUUGAUAAUUCAAUGGUGUGAGCCUCUGAAGAAUAUCAUUCUGUUGUUGGGGAGUGAAGGAUGGUGUUGUAAUUCAAUUCUAUGUUUGAAGGCGAGGUAGCAGAGUUGAUGUGGGGAAUAUGAUCUCUUAAUUUUGAUUUAUGGGUUGAAGAAUUGAUGUUUUAUGUUGCCGGUUGAGAUUGAAUGUUGCGGAUUGAGCAUGAAUUUCUCCUGCUAUUGGCCUAUUGCAAUGAAUGAUGAAAACUGUGGAGUUUACUGUAAAAACUUUCUAUACUUGUAUGAGUGAGAGACCGUUAGAGGAACAUUAACAAAAGAAACAGAUGGAGUCUAUUGUAUAUGUCAUUCUAAUAUCUCACAUGUUAAUGUGUCAUGUGAGAUGUUUUGAGUUUACAUGACAUUUGCUUGAAGUGAGUAUGCUAUUGUUGUCA
This is an RNA transcript of Lotus japonicus, 1396 nucleotides long. RefSeq lists it as uncharacterized. The transcript is spliced from 6 exons. The record is from RefSeq and is a predicted model, not a curated record. NCBI's taxonomy places the organism in Eukaryota, Viridiplantae, Streptophyta, Magnoliopsida, Fabales, Fabaceae.